GGCAGGGUAGCUCAGUUGGUAGAGCACAGGACUCAUAAGCCUGAUGUCGUGGGUUCGAUCCCCACCCCUGCUA
Molecule: transfer RNA, 73 nt
Filed under: Candidatus Moraniibacteriota bacterium
Lineage: Bacteria; Candidatus Moraniibacteriota
Description: tRNA-Met
Rfam family: tRNA
About the family: Transfer RNA (tRNA) molecules are approximately 80 nucleotides in length. Their secondary structure includes four short double-helical elements and three loops (D, anti-codon, and T loops). Further hydrogen bonds mediate the characteristic L-shaped molecular structure. tRNAs have two regions of fundamental functional importance: the anti-codon, which is responsible for specific mRNA codon recognition, and the 3' end, to which the tRNAs corresponding amino acid is attached (by aminoacyl-tRNA synthetases). tRNAs cope with the degeneracy of the genetic code in two manners: having more than one tRNA (with a specific anti-codon) for a particular amino acid; and 'wobble' base-pairing, i.e. permitting non-standard base-pairing at the 3rd anti-codon position.
Source: RNAcentral